UGGCGAGCGGGUGAGUAACACGUGAGUAACCUGCCCUUGACUUUGGGAUAACUUCAGGAAACUGGGGCUAAUACCGGAUAGGAGCUCCUGCUGCAUGGUGGGGGUUGGAAAGUUUCGGCGGUUGGGGAUGGACUCGCGGCUUAUCAGCUUGUUGGUGGGUAGUGGCUUACCAAGGCUUUGACGGGUAGCCGGCCUGAGAGGGUGACCGGCCACAUUGGGACUGAGAUACGGCCCAG
This 236-nucleotide ribosomal RNA is filed under the name uncultured Actinomycetales bacterium. RNAcentral's name for it is "partial 16S ribosomal RNA". It matches the Rfam family "Bacterial small subunit ribosomal RNA", at positions 96 to 334 of the family's 1533-position model. The record is from RNAcentral. Lineage: Bacteria; Bacillati; Actinomycetota; Actinomycetes; Actinomycetales.